AUACGGAGGGUACAAGCGUUAUCCGGAUUUAUUGGGUUUAAAGGGUGCGUAGGCGGUUUGAUAAGUCAGCGGUGAAAUAUUUCAGCUUAACUGGAAGGGUGCCGUUGAUACUGUCGAGCUUGAAUUUAGUUGCUGUGGGUGGAAUGUGUGGUGUAGCGGUGAAAUGCAUAGAUAUCACACAGAAUAUCGAUUGCGAAGGCAGCUCACAAAGCUAAUAUUGACGCUGAUGCACGAAAGUGUGGGGAUCAAACAGGAUUAGAUACCCUGGUAGUCCACACUGUAAACGAUGAUAACUCGCUGUCGGCGAUACAUAGUCGGUGGCCAAGCGAAAGCGAUAAGUUAUCCACCUGGGGAGUACGACCGCAAGGUUGAAACUCAAAUGAAUUGGCGGGG
This 393-nucleotide ribosomal RNA is filed under the name uncultured bacterium. Its description in RNAcentral is "partial 16S ribosomal RNA". It matches the Rfam family "Bacterial small subunit ribosomal RNA", at positions 523 to 918 of the family's 1533-position model. The record is from RNAcentral.